Molecule: long non-coding RNA, 1724 nt
Organism: Hevea brasiliensis (rubber tree)
Lineage: Eukaryota; Viridiplantae; Streptophyta; Magnoliopsida; Malpighiales; Euphorbiaceae
Exons: 2
Source: RefSeq, a predicted model, not a curated record
CUUUUAAACGACGUCACUUAGCGAAUUCUCAGAAAAAUGAACCUCAAAGUUGGGGUUUGUGCAAUUAGGGUUAGGGUUUUGGCCAUCGAUCCUUUAUCCUUGCCUAUUUAUGUGCCGUCACACUCCUCUGUAAUUAUCUUCCUCUUUACUAUACCUGCAUUCUUAGAAGCAGGAAUUUAUGCGUAAUUUACAUGUAUCUAUGUAGAUAGAAAGGGAAAAAGAGAGGGUUGGUUGCGAUGAUUAGAAAAGAAAUUCCUCGUUCUGAAUGCUAUAGCCAUGGCAUGACAGACUCCUUUACACCCAUAGAAUAUGAGCACCGCCCUCAAAUUUCUCUUUAUUUUGGGUAAUUAAUUGCUUUAUUUAUAGAUUUGGUUUGUUGGCUUAUUCUGGGAUUAAUAGUAAUUUGUGUGGGUUAAUAUGAGUUGGAAAUUUCGCUGCUUUUUGCAAUUAUAUACUGUUUUUGAUUUGAAGAUUUGAUUAAGGUCUAAAUUCCCAAAUUUUCAAAGCUUUUCAAUUGAUUUAUAGUGUAGUCGCUACAAAAGAUUAUUGAAAAUUUUGUAGGAGUUGAAUUUGAUUUGCAAGGCAUUACACUUAAAUUGCAUUGUGUUGAUUCAACUCCGUAAAAUUAUUUGGUGGUGUUUAAAGCCUUAAUUUGAUGGAAGAUGCAAUUUCGUAGAUUAGGGUUACGCACACCUCCAUAUCAUUUUUUUUUUUUUUUAAUUUUCAACUGCAUCUAUUUCUAAUUUUCUUAUGUUUAUCUCGACUUUCGCACACGCGAACUUGAGCUUGAGUUGUUUGAUGACUUAUCAACAAAUUUCUCAUUAUUCAAGACCCAGAAUUGAGAUAUGAAUAUGAUCUUGGAAUUCCUUCCUCAAAAAUGACUUUUGUCUUCUGCAAUGGAUUUUCUUUUUGCUUUUAUCAUAUAGAAGGGAUUGCUCUGCUUCCAUGGAUGAAAAAGUGAAUUUAAUUUGUUUUAUUUUAUGAUACAACUUGGUUUCCGAUUUUUAAAAACUUCUGGAAAAAAACAUGAAGUUGUCCAUCGGUAUCACUUAGUAUAUCCUGUGUAUUUAUUCAUACCUUGCAGAUAGUGGCUUGGUACUAGCAGGAAACCUUGUAUCACAAUCUUUGGCUUGCAGGAAGAAUGUGGACCUUGCUCAUUAAUCAUUAUAGCUCUAUGGAUGCUGAUUGUUUGCAAUUACUUGGAAGAUGUAAUAUUAUCCAUCUUCUGGUCCAUUCAACUUAUUGUUUAACGCUGGACAAGCUUUUGGGUAAUUUGAAUUUAGCUGAAGAAAGAGGUAUAUCAGAAACUUAAAAUUGAACUGGAAGUCCAGAGGGGCUAGUGCUGAUACAGAUUAUCAUUUGUAUUGUAUCUUUGUUGACUGCAGAUUAGUUGUAGGAUAUUUACGGGGAAGAAGUGCACAGCUAAGGAGGUUAUUAAUCCGUAGAAUUUGUUAGAUACAUAGUUGAUUGGUAGUUUAUUUGGAUGUGCCUCAAAGUUGGCGUUUUCAUUUUUGACUGAGAGAGCAGUAUAGAAGGCUUUCUCAACUUUGAAAGUACAAAGCUGUUGAUUUUAAGGACAUGUUGGCAAAUUCUGCUUCCACGGAAACUCUUUCUUGCAAGAAAUUUUAGUUAGAUGUGAUUGUAUUUUUUUAACUGGCCUUACUUGAAAAGGCCCUUAAGUUUGUCUAAAAUUUGGCCCAAAUGUUAACAAAAUUUGUAUCAAA